GAUGAACGCUGGCGGCGUGCCUAAUACAUGCAAGUCGAGCGAACAGACGAGGAGCUUGCUCCUCUGACGUUAGCGGCGGACGGGUGAGUAACACGUGGAUAACCUACCUAUAAGACUGGGAUAACUUCGGGAAACCGGAGCUAAUACCGGAUAAUAUAUUGAACCGCAUGGUUCAAUAGUGAAAGACGGUUUUGCUGUCACUUAUAGAUGGAUCCGCGCCGCAUUAGCUAGUUGGUAAGGUAACGGCUUACCAAGGCGACGAUGCGUAGCCGACCUGAGAGGGUGAUCGGCCACACUGGGACUGAGACACGGUCCAGACUCCUACGGGAGGCAGCAGUAGGGAAUCUUCAGCAAUGGGCGAAAGCCUGACGGAGCAACGCCGCGUGAGUGAUGAGGGUCUUCGGAUCGUAAAACUCUGUUAUUAGGGAAGAACAAAUGUGUAAGUAACUAUGCACGUCUUGACGGUACCUAAUCAGAAAGCCACGGCUAACUACGUG
Molecule: ribosomal RNA, 497 nt
Filed under: uncultured bacterium
Lineage: Bacteria
Description: partial 16S ribosomal RNA
Rfam family: Bacterial small subunit ribosomal RNA
Source: RNAcentral